Molecule: long non-coding RNA, 1777 nt
Filed under: Nicotiana tabacum (common tobacco)
Lineage: Eukaryota; Viridiplantae; Streptophyta; Magnoliopsida; Solanales; Solanaceae
Description: long non-coding RNA (NTAB_LNC010617)
Source: RNAcentral
UCGGCUAUUUCUUCUAUGUUAAUAAUAAGCUCCAACAUAAAAUUUUAAAAAUUAAGAAAACACAAAAAAAGUAAAUCGGCAAUUACAAAAAUUAAGAUAAAAUAAGUGAUAGGAACAAAAAGAAGGACGCCAUAGGCGGCCCCAAUCGUUUCACUUGUUUUCCUUCUAUCCACAAUAUUCUAAGGAUAUAUGUCAUGUAUUGACUCUAUUUGAUGGUGAUGAGACUCCAUCUUUACGAGUCCCGAAGACUCCAUAUGUGGGUAUUGGAGUCUAGCAUUAAGACUCCAUUAUGCUCCAAAAUGUACAUGUAAAGGAAGAGAGAAAUAAACAAUUGGCAAAAUAACGUAAGAGUUCAAUUAACAUAUGCAAGGAUAAGAAGGAUUAGAGAGUGGAACUUGAUUCUUAACAAUAUAUCAAGAUUAAAAUAUGCAAAGACGUCCUAGUGUCAAAUUAUUUUAUGAAAUUCCAGCCAUACUUCUUGUCAUCAGACAAACACACAACUAUAGGAAAGAUAAAUAUUUCCAGCUAUUUAUUUAGACUAGUAGCAAAAACUCUCAAAUGACUAAAAUAUAAACUUCCAAUGAUAAUCACACAGCAACAUGGACAUAUUUCAUCAAGACGUAAAUUUUAUCUUAACAAAGUCAUCGACACUUUUAAAUCCAAAUACUAACCAGCAAAAAGAAAUAGGCACAAAAGUUCUAUAACUAUGUUUCCUAAAGAAAGAAUUUUGGAUACCUAAUACUAAAGUAAAUCAAGUCUUCACUUAACAGUGUGCAUUUAAAUAAAUCUAUUCUUAAACAAAUUGUGAAAUUUUAAGCACGAUAUUUAGGAAAAAGGUUUUGAAUCACAAUGGCAAAUAAAUCUUUUACAGGGCAACUAGUUCAUGAUAAAAUCCUUCUUAAAUUUAUGGCAUCUAACAGAGAAGUAUGCAAAAGGGAAUAAGUAUUUUCAUGUGAGCAUUUCAUCAAAUAUAUGUCGGGCAUGCUUUUAACAAUACACACCAGAACAUAAUCUCCUUACAGGAUUACUGCUAAUAACUUUAGUCACAGAUCAUUCCCUUAAAUAAACAUGUACAUAAAAGCUUAAUAGAAGCUAACAAUCCUCGCAACAAACACGCAUCAGACAUCAAAAAAUCAGAAUCAAAACGAGAGUAAUAGGAGAAGAUACAGACCUUUUGCAGGACAUCGAACUGAGACGGGUUAGAUGCGAUAUCGAACUCCGACCUCAAACUCGCUACCUUAGACGAUUGUUAGUCGCCGGAAUAAGCAAAUAAACCAUUGUAAUGGCUAAAAAUACAAAGAGAGCUAGAGAACUUUGUUUUUUAAUUAGAGGAAAGGAAAUGCAUUAACAGAGGUGGCUGAAAACUCUCGACUUUAGGGUGAAAGUGGGCGGCUCUAGGGCUUAAGGUUAAAGAAGGGGGUCGAAGCUUGUGGGUUUAAAGAGAGGUGCAACGGCUCCAAAAGAUCCUUUUCCAAUAUAUUUCAAAUACAAGUAUUUAUAGGUGAAGAAGUAGGGUUCAUGGGCGGGAUUUUUACCUCUAACGUUUGAAAUUAAGAGCGUGGAGUUUCGAACGGUAAAAUAGUCGUUCAUCAUUUAAUGAGCGAGAUUUGAGCAGAUUUGUUUCAAAUUAAUACCCAAAAUGGUUGGGAUGUUGUGCAGCAAGAAAAAGAAAAAAAAUGGAGAAACUCCAUGUGACCAAAGAGAGAGAAAAGAUCCCAAUUUAGACUUCUUGGAACUGGAUUUGAGGCAAGAAUUCAUUGAAAUUAAAUGAAAAUUU